RNAcentral lists this ribosomal RNA (492 nucleotides) under uncultured bacterium. Its description in RNAcentral is "partial 16S ribosomal RNA". It matches the Rfam family "Bacterial small subunit ribosomal RNA", at positions 29 to 507 of the family's 1533-position model. The record is from RNAcentral.
AGUGAACGCUGGCGGCAUGCCUAACACAUGCAAGUCGAACGGCAGCACGGUAUCAGCUUGCUCUUAGGGGCGGAGAGUGGCGGAAGGGUGCGGAAUAUACCGGAUUCUACUUUGUAAUGGGGGAUAACGUAGGGUAAUUUCCGCUAAUACCGCAUACGACCUCCGGGGGAAAGCAAGGGAUCUUCGGACCUUGCGCGAUGGUAUGAGCCGAUGUCGGAUUAGCUAGUUGGCGGGGUAAAGGCGUACAAAGGCGACGAUCCGUAGCUGGUCUGAGAGGAUGAUCAGCCACACUGGAACUGAGACACGGCCCAGACUCCUACGGGAGGCAGCAGUGGGGAAUAUUGGACAAUGGGCGCAAGCCUGAUCCAGCCAUACCGCGUGGAGGAUGAAGGCCUUCGGGUUGUAAAGUGCUUUUGUUGGGAAAGAAAAGCAGCAGUUUAAUACCGGACGGUUAUGACGGUACCGAAAGAAUAAGCACCGGCUAACUACGUG